RNAcentral lists this unclassified non-coding RNA (392 nucleotides) under soil metagenome. RNAcentral's name for it is "partial contains 5.8S ribosomal RNA, internal transcribed spacer 2, and large subunit ribosomal RNA". The stretch from base 1 to 122 matches the Rfam family "5.8S ribosomal RNA", at positions 35 to 154 of the family's 154-position model. The record is from RNAcentral.
GAUGAAGAACGUAGCGAAAUGCGAUACUUGGUGUGAAUUGCAGAAUCCCGUGAACCAUCGAGUCUUUGAACGCAAGUUGCGCCCGAAGCCACUAGGCCGAGGGCACGCCUGCCUGGGCGUCACACGUCGUUGCCCCCCCCAUCUACUCCUUCGGGAUUGCGGGGGGCGGAUGAUGGCCUCCCGUGCGCCUCGCCGCGCGGUUGGCAUAAAUGCCAAGUCCUCGGCGACGCACGCCACGACAAUCGGUGGUUGCGAAACCUCGGUUGCCCGUCGUGUGCGGUCGUCGCGCAUCGAGGGCUCGAAAAAAUUGCCGAGUUCCGGCUCGGCUUUCAACGCGACCCCAGGUCAGGCGGGGUUACCCGCUGAAUUUAAGCAUAUCAAUAAGCGGAGGA